UACGAAGGGGGCUAGCGUUGCUCGGAAUCACUGGGCGUAAAGGGUGCGUAGGCGGGGCUUUAAGUCAGGGGUGAAAUCCUGGAGCUCAACUCCAGAACUGCCUUUGAUACUGAAGAUCUUGAGUUCGGGAGAGGUGAGUGGAACUGCGAGUGUAGAGGUGAAAUUCGUAGAUAUUCACAAGAACACCAGUGGCGAAGGCGGCUCACUGGCCCGAUACUGACGCUGAGGCGCGAAAGCCAGGGGAGCAAACGGG
This 253-nucleotide ribosomal RNA is filed under the name uncultured bacterium. RNAcentral describes it as "partial 16S ribosomal RNA". It matches the Rfam family "Bacterial small subunit ribosomal RNA", at positions 524 to 776 of the family's 1533-position model. The record is from RNAcentral.